RNAcentral lists this ribosomal RNA (467 nucleotides) under uncultured bacterium. RNAcentral describes it as "partial 16S ribosomal RNA". It matches the Rfam family "Bacterial small subunit ribosomal RNA", at positions 28 to 507 of the family's 1533-position model. The record is from RNAcentral.
GACGAACGCUGGCGGCGUGCUUAACACAUGCAAGUCGAACGGAAAGGCCCUGCUUUUGUGGGGUGCUCGAGUGGCGAACGGGUGAGUAACACGUGAGUAACCUGCCCUUGACUUUGGGAUAACUUCAGGAAACUGGGGCUAAUACCGGAUAGGAGCUCCUGCUGCAUGGUGGGGGUUGGAAAGUUUCGGCGGUUGGGGAUGGACUCGCGGCUUAUCAGCUUGUUGGUGGGGUAGUGGCUUACCAAGGCUUUGACGGGUAGCCGGCCUGAGAGGGUGACCGGCCACAUUGGGACUGAGAUACGGCCCAGACUCCUACGGGAGGCAGCAGUGGGGAAUAUUGCACAAUGGGCGGAAGCCUGAUGCAGCAACGCCGCGUGCGGGAGGACGGCCUCGGGUUGUAAACCGCUUUCGCCUGUGACGAAGCGUGAGUGACGGUAAUGGGUAAAGAAGCACCGGCUAACUACGUG